UACGGAGGAUGCGAGCGUUAUCCGGAUUUAUUGGGUUUAAAGGGUGCGCAGGCGGGAGAUUAAGUCGGCGGUGAAAUUUUGCAGCUCAACUGUAAAAGUGCCUUCGAAACUGGUUUCCUUGAGUGUAGAUGAAGUAGGCGGAAUUUGUGGUGUAGCGGUGAAAUGCAUAGAUAUCACGAGGAACUCCGAUUGCGCAGGCAGCUUACUAAACCAUAACUGACGCUCAGGCACGAGGCGUGGGGAUCAAACAGGAUUAGAUACCCCGGUAGU
This 270-nucleotide ribosomal RNA is filed under the name uncultured prokaryote. RNAcentral describes it as "partial 16S ribosomal RNA". It matches the Rfam family "Bacterial small subunit ribosomal RNA", at positions 524 to 794 of the family's 1533-position model. The record is from RNAcentral.